UAGAGUUGAGGAUGUAAGCAGUGUACAGAGGAAGAGGAUAGUUGAGGAUGUAAGCAGUGUGGAAGAGGAUAGAGUUGAGGAUGUAAGCAGUGUGGAAGAGGAUAGAGUUGAGGAUGUAAGCAGUGUACGGAGUAAGAGGAUAGUUGAGGAUGUAAGCAGUGUGGAAGAGGAUAGAGUUGAGGAUGUAAGCAGUGUGGAAGAGGAUAGAGUUGAGGAUGGAAGCAGUGUACGGAGUAAGAGGAUAGUUGAGGAUGUAAGCAGUGUGGAAGAGGAUAGAGUUGAGGAUGUAAGCAGUGUGGAAGAGGAUAGAGUUGAGGAUGUAAGCAGUGUACAGAGGAAGAGGAUAGUUGAGGAUGUAAGCAGUGUACAGAGGAAGAGGAUAGAGUUGAGGAUGUAAGCAGUGUACGGAGUAAGAGGAUAGUUGAGGUUGUAAGCAGUGUACGGAGUAAGAGGAUAGUUGAGGUUGUAAGCAGUGUACGGACUAAGAGGAUAGUUGAGGAUGUAAGCAGUGUACAGAGGAAGAGGAUAGAGUUGAGGAUGUAAGCAGUGUACGGAGGAAGAGGAUAGUUGAGGAUGUAAGCAGUGAGGAAGAGGAUAGAGUUGAGGAUGUAAGCAGUGAGGAAGAGGAUAGAGUUGAGGUUGUAAGCAGUGUACGGAGUAAGAGGAUAGUUGAGGUUGUAAGCAGUGUGGAAGAGGAUAGUUGAGGUUGUAAGCAGUGUGGAAGAGGAUAGAGUUGAGGAUGUAAGCAGUGUACGGAGUAAGAGGAUAGUUGAGGAUGUAAGCAGUGUACAGAGUAAGAGGAUAGUUGAGGAUGUAAGCAGUGUACGGAGUAAGAGGAUAGUUGAGGAUGUAAGCAGUGAGGAAGAGGAUAGAGUUGAGGUUGUAAGCAGUGUACAGAGUAAGAGGAUAGUUGAGGAUGUAAGCAGUGAGGAAGAGGAUAGAGUUGAGGUUGUAAGCAGUGUACAGAGUAAGAGGAUAGUUGAGGAUGUAAGCAGUGAGGAAGAGGAUAGAGUUGAGGUUGUAAGCAGUGUACAGAGUAAGAGGAUAGUUGAGGAUGUAAGCAGUGAGGAAGAGGAUAGAGUUGAGGAUGUAAGCAGUGAGGAAGAGGAUAGAGUUGAGGAUGUAAGCAGUGUACGGAGUAAGAGGAUAGUUGAGGAUGUAAGCAGUGAGGAAGAGGAUAGAGUUGAGGAUGUAAGCAGUGUACAGAGUAAGAGGAUAGUUGAGGAUGUAAGCAGUGAGGAAGAGGAUAGAGUUGAGGAUGGAAGCAGUGUACGGAGUAAGAGGAUA
This is a non-coding RNA of Oncorhynchus mykiss (rainbow trout), 1287 nucleotides long. Lineage: Eukaryota; Metazoa; Chordata; Actinopteri; Salmoniformes; Salmonidae. The record is from RefSeq and is a predicted model, not a curated record.